CUAGCUAGCAACUGUACCUGUUGGCAUUCGGUUAAAUCGAAUCGGAUACGUCCAUAAGCGGGUUCGAUCCGGCGAGUAUUAUAUUAUUUAAUUGGAUUAGAAUUAAUCUUACUUUUAAAUUUGAAAGUUAGUUAGAAAUAAAUCCUACUCAUAUUAGGAUAACAAUUAAUAACCGAUUUGACCUUAUCUCUAACGUUAUUAGGAUUUUAGAAUUCCUUAUAAAUAUGCGGGCGAUCCCAUAUAAAAAAAAAACAACAAGAAUGAAAAAAAAAAGAAAAAAAAAAAAACGAAAGAGAGAAACCAUAUCCUCCAUCAACCUAUUAUUCUAACCUAUUAUUCUAAGAGGGAUUUGAACGGUGAAUUUGUGAUCGUGCUCGUUUGUAAUUCGAUCCAUCGCGAGUUUGGAACGUAAGAAGAUUUAAUCAAGAACGAUCAAAGGACACGUGAAUCAACCUCGUCGAUCCGGAUUCAUCGCAUUGUAACGCGAAUCGCUUCUGCAAAAAAGUACGAAUGAAUACUUUCGCUGCGUUCUACAGUACCGUCACCGCAUACUCCUCCUCCACCUCCGCCCCCUUUCACACUAUUAUUAUA
This 591-nucleotide long non-coding RNA is filed under the name Ananas comosus (pineapple). RNAcentral describes it as "long non-coding RNA (ACOM_LNC044243)". The record is from RNAcentral. Lineage: Eukaryota; Viridiplantae; Streptophyta; Magnoliopsida; Poales; Bromeliaceae.